RNAcentral lists this ribosomal RNA (332 nucleotides) under uncultured bacterium. RNAcentral describes it as "bacterial SSU rRNA". It matches the Rfam family "Bacterial small subunit ribosomal RNA", at positions 568 to 898 of the family's 1533-position model. The record is from RNAcentral.
CGUGUAGGCGGUUGGGUAAGUCAGAUGUGAAAGCCUUCUGCUUAACAGAAGAAGUGCAUUUGAAACUGCUCGGCUGGAGUACGGGAGAGGAGAGUGGAAUUCCCGGUGUAGAGGUGAAAUUCGUAGAUAUCGGGAGGAACACCAGUGGCGAAGGCGGCUCUCUGGUCCGAUACUGACGCUGAGACGCGAAAGCGUGGGGAGCAAACAGGAUUAGAUACCCUGGUAGUCCACGCCGUAAACGAUGGGCACUAGGUGUAGGAGGUAUUGACCCCUUCUGUGCCGAAGCUAACGCAUUAAGUGCCCCGCCUGGGGAGUACGGCCGCAAGGCUAAA